This 411-nucleotide ribosomal RNA is filed under the name Campiglossa pygmaea. RNAcentral's name for it is "eukaryotic LSU rRNA". It matches the Rfam family "Eukaryotic large subunit ribosomal RNA", at positions 71 to 462 of the family's 3401-position model. Lineage: Eukaryota; Metazoa; Arthropoda; Insecta; Diptera; Tephritidae. The record is from RNAcentral.
AGGAUUUUCUUAGUAGCGGCGAGCGAAAAGAAAAUAGUUCAGCACUAAGUCACUUUGUCUUAAUGGCAAAUGUGAGAUGCAGUGUAUGGAAUAUCUUAAUAUCUAGUAUGAGAAAUUAGCGAUUUAAGUCCUUCUUAAAUGAGGCCAUUUACCCAUAGAGGGUGCCAGGCCCGUAUAACGUUAAUGAUUACUAGAAAGAUAUUUCCAAAGAGUCGUGUUGCUUGAUAGUGCAGCACUAAGUGGGUGGUAAACUCCAUCUAAAACUAAAUAUAUCCAUGAGACCGAUAGUAAACAAGUACCGUGAGGGAAAGUUGAAAAGAACUCUGAAUAGAGAGUUAAAUAGUACGUGAAACUGCUUAGAGGUUAAGCCCGAUGAACCUGAAUAUCCAUUAUGAAAAAUUCAUCAUUAUA